RNAcentral lists this ribosomal RNA (971 nucleotides) under uncultured bacterium. RNAcentral describes it as "bacterial SSU rRNA". It matches the Rfam family "Bacterial small subunit ribosomal RNA", at positions 63 to 1031 of the family's 1533-position model. The record is from RNAcentral.
GGAACCGCCCUAAUUCAGCUGCUGAGAUGACGAGUGGCGGACGGGUGAGUAAUGCUUGGGAACUUGCCUUUGCGAGGGGGAUAACAGUUGGAAACGACUGCUAAUACCGCAUAAUGUCUUCGGACCAAACGGGGCUUUUAGCUCCGGCGCAAAGAGAGGCCCAAGUGAGAUUAGCUAGUUGGUGAGGUAAAGGCUCACCAAGGCGACGAUCUCUAGCUGUUCUGAGAGGAAGAUCAGCCACACUGGGACUGAGACACGGCCCAGACUCCUACGGGAGGCAGCAGUGGGGAAUAUUGCACAAUGGGGGAAACCCUGAUGCAGCCAUGCCGCGUGUGUGAAGAAGGCCUUCGGGUUGUAAAGCACUUUCAGUUGUGAGGAAAAGUUAGUAGUUAAUACCUGCUAGCCGUGACGUUAACAACAGAAGAAGCACCGGCUAACUCCGUGCCAGCAGCCGCGGUAAUACGGAGGGUGCGAGCGUUAAUCGGAAUUACUGGGCGUAAAGCGCACGCAGGCGGUUUGUUAAGCUAGAUGUGAAAGCCCCGGGCUCAACCUGGGAUGGUCAUUUAGAACUGGCAGACUAGAGUCUUGGAGAGGGGAGUGGAAUUCCAGGUGUAGCGGUGAAAUGCGUAGAUAUCUGGAGGAACAUCAGUGGCGAAGGCGACUCCCUGGCCAAAAGACUGACGCUCAUGUGCGAAAGUGUGGGUAGCGAACAGGAUUAGAUACCCUGGUAGUCCACACCGUAAACGCUGUCUACUAGCUGUGUGUGAUUUUAAAUCGUGCGUAGCGAAGCUAACGCGCUAAGUAGACCGCCUGGGGAGUACGGCCGCAAGGUUAAAACUCAAAUGAAUUGACGGGAGCCCGCACAAGCGGUGGAGCAUGUGGGUUUAAUUCGAUGCAACGCGAAGAACCCUACCUACACUUGACAUGCAGAGAACUUUCUAGAGAUAGAUUGGUGCCUUCUGGGAACUCUG